UAUCUCGUUUCAAUUUAUUUUGCUUUCCGUUUAUUUCUCUUUCAGUUUUAUCUCGUUUCAGUUUAUCUCGUUUUCAGUUUUCUUCUUUUUCAGUUUAUUUUUGUUUCAGUUUAUUUUAUCGGUCUUGAUAAGGAAAAUAGGUAAGUCCUUAAUUCCCUGUGGAUUCGAUCCUUUUACCACUAUCUACAAUUGUAAAUUGUUGAUAACCAGAAAGGUUAUUUUUGACCGGCUUCGACAACCGCGAGUCA
RNAcentral lists this long non-coding RNA (248 nucleotides) under Manihot esculenta (cassava). RNAcentral describes it as "long non-coding RNA (MESC_LNC008649)". Lineage: Eukaryota; Viridiplantae; Streptophyta; Magnoliopsida; Malpighiales; Euphorbiaceae. The record is from RNAcentral.